GUGUUUUAAAUUUAAAAUUUUAAUAUUUAUUGUUUUCAUAAAUACAUUACAUUACUGUCAUUUACAUUUUAAGAAAUGUUGCAAAUUAAUGGUAGGACGUAGAAUGUCCAUCAACUUUAUUUGACGUUAAAUUGGUUUUUGACUCCUAUUCUUAUGUUAUUGUUACGUACUGGACGCCUGUAAAAUCUAAGAAUCUUUGGAUUUUAAACUAAUCUAAGUUAACAUUUGUUAGUUGAACAUUCAAAAGCCUGAGAUUCUACAAUGGAACAGAAAAAUGAUAUGUUAUGUGUCGAAGAUAUUGUUUAUAUGCUACUUGAAUCAUUAAAGUCUAAUGGCACAUUUGAUGAAAUCCGUAGGCAUUGUAUUACUGAUAUUGAUGCUAAGCCUACUUAUCAAAACUGGAAACAGCGAAUAGAAUCAAAUGUCAACAAAUUUUUAAGUAAAGUUAAAUAUACUCCUGAAUUAAAUAAAAACACUGUUCGAGAACGACUUCGAAAACAUUUACUUGAUGGACGUGAGACUCAAGAUAUUGAAGAGGGAGCUGAUAGAAUACUUACUCAAGUUCUUGCGCCUCGUACACUAAGUAUUUUUGAACCUAAAAUAGCAAUUGCUGUUGAUGAAUACUUGGGAAUCAAAAAAGAGGCUCCUCCAAUUGAACUUAAUGGUUUAAAAGAAUCUAGUAUGAAUUUGGUAAAUGAAUCUAACAUUGAAAAUAGUACUGUUUACAAUCCCAAAAUAGAUUUUAUCCCAAGUGCUGAUAACAUAGCUUGUGAUAAAACACAAAAAGAUGAUAGAAAAGACUUAAGAUCAGACAAAAAAGAAAAAUCUUCUAGUCUUUGUAAGGAGCCCAAAUCAUUGAAUGGUAAUCGAACUGACGAUGAAAAUGAUACUGAAGGAUCUUUAAAACAAAAAAGUAGUCAACACAAAAAUAAAACUUCUAUAUCUGACAAGUCUAAAUCUUCCUCUGGUAAUCAUAAAAAUAGUAAAAAAGAUAAUAGUUGUAAAGAAGUUGAUAGAUCUAAAGAUAUAGUUGACAAACCUAAAGAUAUCAUUAAUAAAUCCAAUGACUUUGUUGACAAAUCUAAAGAUGUUAUUGAAAAAUCUAAAGAUGUUAUUAAGCCUAAAGAUGUUGACAAAUCUAAAGAUGUUAGUAAGCCUAAAGAUAUUGUUGACAAGUCUAAAGAUGUUAGUAAGCCUAAAGAUAUUGUUGACAAGCCUAAAGAUAUUUUUGACAAAUCUAAGGAUAUUAUUAAUAAGUCCAAAGAUGUUAACGACAAAUCUAAAGAUAUUAAUGAUAAAUCUAAAGAUAUUGUUAAUAAAGCUAAAGAAAUAGUUGAAAAGUCCAAAGACAAAUUAUUGUUGUCAAAAAAUUCUAAUUCUUAUAGUUCAAGUCAUAAAAGUAACCGAACAGAUACAAAAAGAACUAAACGUUCUGUUGAAGAGAAAAAAAAGUCGUCUAGUUUUUGUAAAGAGCCUAAAUUAUUAAACGGUAAUCGAAGUGAUGAUGAAAGUAAUGCAGGAGGAUCUUCAAAACAAAAAAGUUCUAUUCAUAAAAAUAAGAGUUCUUCAUCUGACAAGACUAAGUCAUCAUCCAGUAAUCAUAAAAGUAGUAGAAAAGAUAAUACUAGUACAGACGUUGUUGAUAAGUCUAAAGACAAGUCUUUGUCAAAGAAGUCUAGUAGUACUGAUCUUGAUAAGUCUAAAGACAAAUCUUUAUCAAAAAAAUCUAGUAGUUCUGACAUUGAUAAGUCUAGAGACAAAUCUUUGUCUAAGAAAUCGAGUAGUUCUGAUAUUGAUAAGUCUAAAGCCAAAUCUUUGUCAAAGAAAUUUAGUAGUUCUGACAUUGAUAAGUCUAAAGAUAAAUCUUUAUCAAAAAAAUCUAGUAGUUCUGACAUUGAUAAGUCUAGAGACAAAUCUUUGUCUAAGAAAUCAAUUAGUUCUGACAUUGAUAAGUCUAAAGACAAAUAUUUGUCAAGAAAUUCUAGUAGUUCUGAUAUAGAUAAACCUAAAGAAAAAUCUUUUUCAAAGAAUCCUAAUAGUAUUGAUGUUGAUAAGUCUAAAAACAAAUCUUCUUUGUCAAAAGAUUCUACUUGCUCAAGCCAUAAAAGCAACCGUAAUGACUCUAAAAGGCUUAAAAUUUCUCAACCGGAAAAAAAUAAAUUACCUUUAAAUAAUAAAAGUAUUGAAGAAAAUAGAACAGAAAACCCAGAAGAACCAGAGUGGAAUGAUUUUCUAAGUUCUAAUAUAACAAAUGAUGAACAAGAUGCAGCUAAUGUUUUAUUAUCAAUGAGUACAAUUUCUUAUGAAAGUUCUCAUAGUGAAAUUAUAACAGAAAAUAUAAUUUUUGUAGAAAAUUCUUCUUCUACUGCCGAAACUUUAGAAACAUCUAAAAUAGAUAAUGAAUUAGAAGCUAAAGAAAAUGUUGAUCAACAGAAAAUUCUACCAUCUAAUGAUGAUAGUGAUGAUAUUAAAGAAAACUUUCGAUUAAAAUCAAAUAAUUUAGAACCAUCACAUAUACUAAAUACUGUAAAAAGUGUAUCAAACAUUAGCCAUUUGUUUGAUAAAGUAUGUUCUGUUGAUAUUGAAAGAUUACCAUGUAAUGAUAUAAAAUUGCAACGUAACUCUGUAAAUAAUGUUGAAAUAACUGAAAAAUACCAAAAACCAGCUGAAAUAGUAGUGGAUGAAAAAGAAUUAAAAAUAUUAAAUGUUGAAAUAAAUUUGGAUCAAAGUGAAAAAGAAAAAACUAGUGAUAUCUUAAAAGUACCAAAGCUAAAAUUAAAACUAUUACCAAAUCAAAUUGAUUCUUUUAAUAAAUGUAAGAGAAAAAAACAUCAUAAAGAUAAAGAAUAUAAAAAAUUAAAACUUUCAAAAUCAUUUGAUAUUCCUAGUGAAAUUAGUGUAUCUGUUACUGAUAGUGUAUCAACAAAUAUAAUGAAUGAAAAAUCUAAUGAUGUGGAUGUAAAAAUUAAUGAUUCAGCAAGUACCUCAUUUAAACAAAUAUUACACAAGGAAAUGGAAAAUAAUAGCGUAAAAGUAUUAGAUGAUGACAAAUCACAUAACUCCUUCAAAGGAUUUUCCGAAGUAGAAACUAUCCCAUGUAAAAACUAUGGAAUACUAAAAAACAUAAUCAAAACCUUACAAGAAAAGAUGAAUAAUCAUGAUGUAAUUAAUGAUGGGUUCAAAGGUUUUACCAGAGCAGAAACACGUCCAUGUAAACAUCGAAAUAUUGUUUAUGCAGAGCUUAAUAAGUUGAAAGAUAGUAUAUCCAAUAUGGACUUUAUUGGAUUUUCUGAAAAAGAAACUGAAAUGAGUAUUGGACAUAAAUGUGUUUUACAACAACUAGAACUCGCACAAAAACAAAGCAAUAUAGAUAAUCAUCAACAAAAUUUGAAGUGUGGUGAAAAUGGGAAAACGUUUAAUGGAGUUGUUAUGGCAGCAUAUUUAUAUAAAAGUGACGAUGAUAAUAAUGAUACAACACCAAAAAAAAUCUACCAGAAAUCAAUUAAUGAUAGUAAAAAAGAUUGUCCUACUGUUAAUAAUAAUAAUCACAAUCAUAAUAAUUGGGUUGUUGAACAAGAAAUGAAAUAUAAACUUUUACCUGUAAAAGUAAAACUUGAAAGAUUAAUGGAGUAUGGAUGUAAUAAUACUAAACGUGUGUCUAACUCUCCACAGCUACCUAUUUAAUUAUUAACAGUAAAAAUAAAAUUUAUAAUAAGAAUCAUGUUUUCAAUUUUUUCUUCAAAAAUAUUUGAAAAAAGGGUCAAAAAGAAGUGUACAUGUUUAAUAUGCAUUGUCAACAAACCGAACUCUGUAUCUAUUUAAAAUACGAUUGUGUAAUUUUUUCCUACUUUUUCAUUACAAUCGACAAAAAAUAAAUUUAUUAUU
This is an RNA transcript of Melanaphis sacchari, 3885 nucleotides long. It is a transcript of the gene named MATH and LRR domain-containing protein PFE0570w-like, with no coding region annotated. The record is from RefSeq and is a predicted model, not a curated record. Lineage: Eukaryota; Metazoa; Arthropoda; Insecta; Hemiptera; Aphididae. The transcript has 9 exons.